Long non-coding RNA from Zophobas morio, 244 nucleotides. RefSeq lists it as uncharacterized. The record is from RefSeq and is a predicted model, not a curated record. NCBI's taxonomy places the organism in Eukaryota, Metazoa, Arthropoda, Insecta, Coleoptera, Tenebrionidae. The transcript is spliced from 3 exons.
GAAGAACUUUGAGCAUUUAUUGCUAAUUUAUUGGCUAGACAUGAAGAACUCAGAAAAGAGUUAAUUUCUACAAAGGCAUUGAAGUUACUAAAAUCACUCAGGAUAAAAAUAAUUCUAAAAGAUCAACUCACAUGCUUCUGAAGUGGUACUCGAAGAAAGCGAGGCUGUAAAGCCGUAAUAAAGAUGCCGACAACAUGAAAGUUAUUGGAGACUCAGAGAAGCUUCAAGAGCUUUACACGACUCA